RNAcentral lists this ribosomal RNA (465 nucleotides) under uncultured bacterium. RNAcentral's name for it is "partial 16S ribosomal RNA". It matches the Rfam family "Bacterial small subunit ribosomal RNA", at positions 28 to 507 of the family's 1533-position model. The record is from RNAcentral.
GACGAACGCUGGCGGCGUGCUUAACACAUGCAAGUCGAACGCUGAACCCGCUUCGGUGGGGGAUGAGUGGCGAACGGGUGAGUAACACGUGGGCAACCUGCCCCCGGCUCUGGGAUAACUCCAAGAAAUUGGGGCUAAUACCGGAUGUGACCGCUGGCCGCAUGGUCUGGUGGUGGAAAGGGUUUCCGGCUGGGGAUGGGCCCGCGGCCUAUCAGCUUGUUGGUGGGGUAGCGGCCUACCAAGGCGACGACGGGUAGCCGGCCUGAGAGGGUGACCGGCCACACUGGGACUGAGACACGGCCCAGACUCCUACGGGAGGCAGCAGUGGGGAAUAUUGCGCAAUGGGCGGAAGCCUGACGCAGCGACGCCGCGUGGGGGAUGACGGCCUUCGGGUUGUAAACCUCUUUCAGCAGGGACGAAGCGCAAGUGACGGUACCUGCAGAAGAAGCACCGGCCAACUACGUG